Molecule: ribosomal RNA, 1202 nt
Filed under: Pseudomonas aeruginosa
Lineage: Bacteria; Pseudomonadati; Pseudomonadota; Gammaproteobacteria; Pseudomonadales; Pseudomonadaceae
Description: bacterial LSU rRNA
Rfam family: Bacterial large subunit ribosomal RNA
Source: RNAcentral
GUUAUAUGGUCAAGUGAAGAAGCGCAUACGGUGGAUGCCUUGGCAGUCAGAGGCGAUGAAAGACGUGGUAGCCUGCGAAAAGCUUCGGGGAGUCGGCAAACAGACUUUGAUCCGGAGAUCUCUGAAUGGGGGAACCCACCUAGGAUAACCUAGGUAUCUUGUACUGAAUCCAUAGGUGCAAGAGGCGAACCAGGGGAACUGAAACAUCUAAGUACCCUGAGGAAAAGAAAUCAACCGAGAUUCCCUUAGUAGUGGCGAGCGAACGGGGAUUAGCCCUUAAGCUUCAUUGAUUUUAGCGGAACGCUCUGGAAAGUGCGGCCAUAGUGGGUGAUAGCCCCGUACGCGAAAGGAUCUUUGAAGUGAAAUCGAGUAGGACGGAGCACGAGAAACUUUGUCUGAACAUGGGGGGACCAUCCUCCAAGGCUAAAUACUACUGACUGACCGAUAGUGAACCAGUACCGUGAGGGAAAGGCGAAAAGAACCCCGGAGAGGGGAGUGAAAUAGAACCUGAAACCGUAUGCGUACAAGCAGUGGGAGCCUACUUGUUAGGUGACUGCGUACCUUUUGUAUAAUGGGUCAGCGACUUAUAUUCAGUGGCAAGCUUAACCGUAUAGGGUAGGCGUAGCGAAAGCGAGUCUUAAUAGGGCGUUUAGUCGCUGGGUAUAGACCCGAAACCGGGCGAUCUAUCCAUGAGCAGGUUGAAGGUUAGGUAACACUGACUGGAGGACCGAACCCACUCCCGUUGAAAAGGUAGGGGAUGACUUGUGGAUCGGAGUGAAAGGCUAAUCAAGCUCGGAGAUAGCUGGUUCUCCUCGAAAGCUAUUUAGGUAGCGCCUCAUGUAUCACUCUGGGGGGUAGAGCACUGUUUCGGCUAGGGGGUCAUCCCGACUUACCAAACCGAUGCAAACUCCGAAUACCCAGAAGUGCCGAGCAUGGGAGACACACGGCGGGUGCUAACGUCCGUCGUGAAAAGGGAAACAACCCAGACCGCCAGCUAAGGUCCCAAAGUUGUGGUUAAGUGGUAAACGAUGUGGGAAGGCUUAGACAGCUAGGAGGUUGGCUUAGAAGCAGCCACCCUUUAAAGAAAGCGUAAUAGCUCACUAGUCGAGUCGGCCUGCGCGGAAGAUGUAACGGGGCUCAAACCACACACCGAAGCUGCGGGUGUCACGCAAGUGACGCGGUAGAGGAGCGUUCUGUAAGCC